AAUUCAUAAAACUGACCCCCCCGUGAAAAAACGGGGAUAAGAAUAUAAGACGAGAAGACCCCAUGGAGCUUAAAACCCUACACCACCUACCCACCCCACAUCACCCAAAACAGGUAGACAUGGUGCCCAGUUUUCGGUUGGGGUGACCGCGGAGUAAAGCUAAACCUCCACGAUGAUAUUAUCUAAGAGCCACAACUCAAAGAAUCAACUAAUUGACAUACUUUGACCCAAAGAAAUUUGAUCAACGAACCAAGUUACCCUGGGGAUAACAGCGCAAUCCAUUUCAAGAGCCCCUAUCGACAAAUGGGUUUACGACCUCGAUGUUGGAUCAGGGUAUCCCAGUGGUGCAGCCGCUACUAAAGGUUUGUUUGUUCAACAAUUAAAACCCUACGUGAUCUGAG
This 401-nucleotide ribosomal RNA is filed under the name Arcovomer passarellii (Passarelli's frog). Its description in RNAcentral is "partial 16S ribosomal RNA". It matches the Rfam family "Bacterial large subunit ribosomal RNA", at positions 2031 to 2609 of the family's 2925-position model. The record is from RNAcentral. Lineage: Eukaryota; Metazoa; Chordata; Amphibia; Anura; Microhylidae.